Molecule: long non-coding RNA, 1497 nt
Filed under: Sarcophilus harrisii (Tasmanian devil)
Lineage: Eukaryota; Metazoa; Chordata; Mammalia; Dasyuromorphia; Dasyuridae
Description: lncRNA (ENSSHAG00000022790.1)
Source: RNAcentral
UGCUCAACCCAAACCAGUAGAAAGAAGCUGUUCUUACCAGAGAGGGGCUCCAGGAAGAGCUGCUGGAGUCCCGGUGUUACAGCUCAGCUGCUCUUGGGACCCUGGCCGGCGCUCAGGCUUCCUUCAGUCGCCACCAAAACUCCGGGGCCAGGAGUUGUCCGGAGCAGGCCUGCUUUGGAAGGGCCUUUCACAGCUGUCUCUAUUUGUAGGAUUAUGAAGGAAGCACCGAAGUGGAUCAGUGCAGGCCCCUUGGGGUCUCCGAAAGGCAGGAAGGAACCUUAGACAAGCAACUCAGGGCAUCUGAAAACCUGCUGUAUUGAAGCAAAAGCCCAGGAACUUGGCAAAGAAUGACGGACCUGGACUCAGAAGAUGGCUGGAGUGGGCAGGCAGGAGGGGCAGCCAUGAAAAGAGCCAAUCUGUCCCCUAAACACAACCAGAAUGGGCAUUUACAUGAGGCUGCUUUUAAAUGGCGCCCGGCUGACUUCUGCUGAGAUGGGAGCGUGGAGCUGCUCCCUCCAGGCUGUCGGGGUGCUCCGUCUUUGUCAGAGAGGCCGGCUCCCGGGGACGUGGAACUGCUCAGCCAGCAACAAGUUGGAAGAGGGAAAAGACAAAGGACCCACUACAUAAAUCACAGGUGUCUGCCUGAUGGAAAGCUAAUGAUGCCGGGAGAAGGCCUUCACCUGGAAAAACUUCACCUCAAACCAGGCAAGCUGUGGGCUCCCAAGUCCUCCAGGCCCAAGGCCAUCCCCCCCAGGGGUGUCCGGGGACCCCACACACACGCUUCCUGCUGUCAGAGCUUAGCCCUGGGAAAGUGACUGCGUCCCCGGGUCUGGGAAUGUGUGUGUGUGUGAGACUGUGUACAUGUGUGUGUGAAUAUGUGCAGGAUUGUGCCUCUGUGUCUAUGAAUGUGUGUGCAUGACUGUGUACAUGUGUGUUAAUAUGUGCAAGACUGUGUCCCUAUGCUGUGAAUGUGUGUACAUGUGUGUGACUAUGUGCAGGAUUGUGUUCAAAUGUCUGUGAAUGUGGGCGUGACUGUACUUUGUAUGUGUGUGAAUGUGUGUGCAGAAUGUGUACAUGUAUUUGUGAAUGUGUAUGUAUGGUACGUGCAUGUGUUUCUGUGUGUUUGUGACUGUGUUGUGAUUGUGUAUGUGUGUUUUUGUGUGUGGAUGUGUAUUGUGAUUUUGUGCAUGUAUUUGUGAAUAUGUGUACAUCUAUAAGAGUCUGGACUAGACAGCACUGAGAGCAUCUACACCAGUGCAGAGGGGUCUGGAAAAUCCAUUUAGAGAGACUGGGUUUGGGCCAAGCCUAACAUUGGGUCUCCGUGGACCACAACAUAAUAUUUUCUCUCUUUUUGUUGUUUGCUUGCAUUUUGUUUUCUUUGUCAUUUUUUUUCCUUUUUGAUCUGAUUUUGCCCGUGCAGCAUAAUAAUUGUGGAAAAUGUAUAGAGGAAUUGCACGUGUUUAACAUAUAUUGUAUCACUUGCUGACUGGAGGGGGG